This is a long non-coding RNA of Macaca nemestrina (pig-tailed macaque), 4003 nucleotides long. Lineage: Eukaryota; Metazoa; Chordata; Mammalia; Primates; Cercopithecidae. The record is from Ensembl.
CUUCCACCAUGAUUUAAGCUCCCUUAAGGCCAGCAAUGUGAGCACAGACAAGUCCUUGUUUAAGAAAGGCUGUUUCUGCAAAGGGAUCCCCAACACAGAAGGAGUCAGGAAACCAAAGAAUGAGACAGACAAAUACAGUUUGUCAGUAAAAGGUAAUUUAUUGGGGGGAAUUUGUGGACAGAAACAUGGUCUUGAGUGGUGGCAAGACAGGUAGUUCUCCAGGCUGUUACCCCCAAGAUUUCGGGCUUACUUAGUACAGGAAAAGGGUAAAUAUGCACUAUAGGAAUGUGCAGGACAUUUAAGGUCAGCCUUCCAGAAAGAGAAUGAGGUGCACAUCGUAGCCUAUAGUUUGUGUGAUGACAUAUAGGUUGCCUUGACUUAAGGAGAAGAUUUACAGUAAGUAUGUACUCUUACACAAGAAAUAGUAGAUCAAGUAGAAAUCUUACAGGCAUUCCCAGAACUGGGGUUAAUUCAAAGUCAACAUGGUGGAUUCACAUCCAAGAUGGAGCUGCUUUAGCUUCCACUGAGCUCCCUCCCCAGACCCAUGGAGCCCUUAGGGUUUACAGGACCAGCGUAGAAAUUCUCAUCCAGGCAGUUUGAUCCUUUUGGUUCUCAAAAGGCAAUUGAAUGUACACAUCUGCUUAUUACUCUCAAAUAAUUUCUUCUUUCACCUUAUUAUUUCUCAAAUCUUUCCUUCUUUUCCCUCUCCAUAGAAAAAGUUCCAGAAAAUUUAAAAAUCUUUUCAGAGAAGACAGUACACUGAGCAGGAUUUGCACAUCAAGAAAAAGUAGAGACAGGAGAUGGGAGUCAAGUGUUUGGAGGGGGGGUAGAGAAAACAUUAGGCUGGAAGGGGUACUGGGCCAGGUGUGGGAGUGUACAGAUCUGUGUGUGUGUGUGUGUUUGUGUGUGUGUGUGUUUGGUGUGUAACAUUCUCACUGAAGAUUUACUUGAAAAACUCCAGCUCUGUCUAGCCUGGAUUAACAGAAUGAUGUUUGGGGCAGGUUGGGGGCUUGGGGGCAGGAGACCCCGGAAUGGGAUGUGGUGUUGGCAGCUGGGCUCUUGGGCAGGUGAGAUAAGCUGCAGAAGGAGCAGGGCUCUGGUUCCCAUGCUCGUCCGUCCUGCUGGCAUGGAGCGUCCUCCAGGCUGUGGGGUGGGUGUGGUAGGUGGGGCUUCCUUCCUUCCCCAGACUAGCCCAGCAAUUCCCCAGGAAGCCAGGCCUCUGCCACUGCUUCUUUCUGCACCUCUACAGGGAGAGUCACCCUGUCUGCACCAAGGAUGGGGACAGCAGAGGAAUCUCACAGGCCAGAUCUCAGAACCUUCCCUGGAAAUGAGGAAGUGGCAUGUCACCGCCCAGUACCUUAGGAAGACCCUGCCCUGUCAGUCAGAGAUGGCAUCUUGGGUGGCCACUCCCUGAGUGGAGGAAGAGAGGGUUCUGUGCAGGGAGCUUCCUUGGUGGAUCAUGGGGAUGAUGGUGACAGCCAUGCUGAAACCCACAUGAAACCGAGUCCUCAGGAGGCCCUGUGAGGAUGGUGUGGUUCCCAUCACACUUCUCUGACAAGAGGGAAUUAUGAUGUUCAGACUCAGGAGAAAUAUGGGGUUUGUUUCAACUCCAUGGAGCAUCACAGUCCUUUUGAGAGGUGAGAGCCUAGCAGAUUGACCUAGCGAAUUGACAGAGAGUGGGCAGAGGCUCUGUCUUGUGGUCAGUUUCAGACAGCCUGUGGCCACGGCUCCCUGGUCAGCAGCAGGCCCUGUUGAAUGGGAGCCCUGGGCAGGCACUGGGAGGGAGGCCUGCGGUGUGGCUCUUACAACCUCACAGCUGCUGCUCUAUCCUAUAGCUACAAUCUGUCCUGCUUCUGAGCCCCAUCCCUGUAGGCCAGCCAUGACCUCAAGGACAAGAAGACCAGGCCAUGAAGAAUCUCGGGCCCACUGAGUGCCCAGGUGGCAGGGACAAAGUGCCUCAGGGCUCAGUGAAGUUUGGGCUGAGCGUGUGCUCUGGGAGUCAGACAGCUGCACAGGGCUCCCAGCUCCACCAUGACGUGACCAGUCCUGUGACUGGAGGAGGGGACUCACUGCUGUGGUACUUGAGCAUCAUUGUCAUAAACUUAAUGUGUCUGUCCAAUCCUUUUGUCUUUUUAUCUCUCUUCCUCUAUAAUCACCAUAUACUACUGAUCUCUGUUAGUGAUUGUGUUCAAAUGAAUAAACAUAUGUUACAUAGGGUGUAUUAUACUUCCUCAUUAUUUCUUCACUAUACUGUAUGACUCCACUCAUACGAGGUACUUGGAGUAGUUAAGUUUAUAGAAACACAAAGUAGAAGAGUGGUUCCUGGGGCUACAGGAAGGUAGGUGAGGUGUUUAAUGGGUACAGAGUUUUAGUUUUGCAAGAUGAAAAACACCCACUAUAAAUGUGGAGGAUGCUCAUAAAACCAUGUGAAUGUGCUUAAUUCCUUUGACCUGCACUCUUAAAAAUUGUUAAAAUGAAAAAAAAAUAUUCUUGGCCAGGCACAGUAGCUCAAGCCUGUAAUCCCAACACUUAGGGAGGCGGAGGUGGACGGAUUACCUGAGGUCAGGAGUUCAAGACCAGCCUGGCCAACGUGGUGAAGCCCCGUCUCUAGUAAAGAUACAAAAAUUAGCCAGAUGUGGCGGUGCAUGCCUCUAAUCCCAGCUACUUGGGAGGCUGAGGCAGAAGAAUUGCUUGAACCCAGGAGGUGGAGGUUGCAGUGAACCAACAUUGUACCACCGCACUCCAGCCUGAGAAACAGAGCAAGACGCUGUCUCAAAAAAAGAAACAAAAAUCCCAGCAACAACAAAUAUACCAGACUAUAGCUAUCUGCAACAGCAUGAAUGAAUACCACAAAUAUAAUGUAUAAAAGUAAGUAGAUGUAAAAGUAUACAUACUAUAUAAUUUUAUUUAUACAAAAUUCAAUAAGCAGACAAAACUGAGGUCCUGGUUUUCAGUAAUACUGGAGUAGCUUGUUCAAUUAACACAGAUUAUAAUGAUGACACCUGAAUAAUAUAUUUUAUAUAUAUACAUAUUUUUAAUGGAGUCUCACUCUGUCACACAGGCAGGAGUGCAGUGGUGCAAUCUCAGCUCACUGCAAUCUCCACCUCCUGGGUUCAAGCAAGUCUCCUGCCUCAGCCUCCCAAGUAGCUGGGACUACAGGCGCAUGCCAUCAUGCCCAGCUAAUUUUUGUAAUUUUAGUAGAGAUGGGAUUUCACCAUGUAGGCCAGUCUGGUCUUGAACUCCUGACCUCAUGAUCUGCCCACCUCGGCCCCCCAAAGCACUGGGAUUACAGGCAUAAGCCACUGCACUCAGCCUAUAUUAUAUAUUAUCAUAGAAAUCCAUCUGUAUAAUACAAAUACGACCUAUGUGUGAAUAAGAACUCAAUGAGGAUUUCAGCUGUGCCCACUGUAAGGGAGAUAGGUAUUGAAGUUUGAAUCCAGCCCAAUUAAAACCAUUUGUAAACAGUAACAUCGCUCUUCAAAGCUAAUACAACAGAAUUGAGAGUCUCUAUAAUGAUUCUUUACAGUAUACAACUUUAAAAUUCACUGAGACAUGUGAGGAAGCACGAAAAUGUAAUCCAUAUACAAUUUAAAAAGCAGGCAGUAGAUGUGAUCCUAAGAUAUUCAAGGUGUUAUAAUUCAGCACAUUUAAAGGCAGUUAUUAUAAAUCUGUUAAUGGGAGUAAAGGAAAAUGUUUUAAGAGAUGUGGAACCUAAGCAAAGAAAUGGAAAUUAUGAAACAAUAAGGAGAUAGGAAAUUUAAAAAAUACCUUUGAGCUUAUUCAAAGUUUAAAAACAGAAGACAGAGCAAUAGAAAUUGCCGGUUCUGAAUAAAAAAGUGAAAAAACUUAAAGAAAAUGAAGAGUCUUAGAGACCUGUUGAGUGAUUGAGUCCAAGUUGGAGGGGACAGAAAAAUGAGGUACAAAAAUAAAUCACCAACUAAUAGCUAAAAACUUCCAAAGAUUGGCCAAAUCCCGCAGUUUUUAUACCCAACAUGUCAACAAA